ACACGACACGUUAAAAGUAGCUCGCGAAGGUAUAAGUUACACAAAUGCAAGCACGCGCGCACACAUGCACACAUGCACGCACGCAUGCACUCACGCACGCAACCGAGCAAUCCGGUUGUAUCGCAAAAACUUAUCCUCGGAAAUGUCCAUAAUUCGGUCUACGUGCUGUGACGCAUGAAAUAUACAUUACGUAAUUACGUAUAAUUUCGUAAAGGUAGUUAGUUAGUACUCGUACGUUUUUACGGAGGAGAGAUAGAAAGAGGCAAAUGCAAGUAAGAAAUUUACGACAAAAUAAAGAUAAGAGGCAGAGAGAGAGAGAGAGAGAGAUAGAUAAAAAUGGUUAUGAAACGGCACAAAAACGAGACGACUGUUUCUAAGCUUUGUAUGCAUCAUAGAAAUGAGCAUUAGCAUGAAAUGAGGAUUACUUUGGGAUACGAGCGAAUGUAUUUAAUGCACACGUUAACAGCAUCUCAGACCACUUCAAUACGAAGAUUGUCAUUCGAAGAUUUGCUUUUCAAUCGGAUUAUGACUAGCUUAUAUACUAUGACUAGCUAUUAUACUUAAAUACUUUAUACAAUGAUGAAUAAAUAAUAGAUAAAAGAAGUAGAUAAGAUUGAAAAACACUGCUCGUUCAAAUCUUUUCGAAAAAUUUCCAAAGCAUAGGGGGAAUUGAAUCGAUGAACGAUUCAGAACUCAUAAAUAAGUGGUUUCGAAGUUACUAUAAAAGUUAGAAAAUCGAACUAUCGUAACCUUUUGCUGCAAUUAUAAGCGUACUCGUACGUAGAGUAGUUAGAUAGAUAGAAUACGAUGAUGAUAGUAGGCUAUCUCAGCAACUAGAAUGCCACGCAUUCGCUUAUAUUCUCUUCUAUGGAGACAGACAAAGCAAUUUAUCCGAUGGUCUAUGCCGUAAUUACACACCGAAUUAACGACGUGGUUGCACAACGAAUUAGAAGCAGGUACGCUAUGGUUUCGCAUUCGCAAACGCUCUAUCGGCCCCUGUUUGCUCUUGGAUUUCAUUAGGACGCCCGUAAACAUACAUGUUCGACUGUAAACAGCGUGUUGUCAGAAUCGUACAGUUUCUCGUUUGGUAUCUCCAUAACUUGCCUCGAACUUUAACCAAACGGAAACUUGAUUCUGAUAUUGGAUAUAUCGGAAAAUCAUUCGCUGAUGUGAGUAUUUAAACAAACAACAGAGGGACUCUAGAACAUCGGAUAUAAGAAAGAAUAAAUAAGCUCUCGUUCGGUUCGUUUAAUAAAAGGAUAAACCCGACAAUGCUGUCGCAUAUUCUUUCUCCCUGAUGUAAUCGGCAAAGGUCACCAGGAACAGGAGCAGGAGCCAACCCUUCUCUCCUGUUCUCCUGGUGCACUCGUCGUCGUCGUCGUCGUCGUCGUCGUCGUUACCACCUUCGAUCGAGCGUGGAUAUCGAAUAACAGUAGCUCGUGUUACGCGAUAUGUCCAGGAGUGCGAGUGAAAUGCUAGAUACACAUAUAGAUAGAUGUAUACAUUCGAGGAUGCAUGGAUGCAUGAAUGCAUGCAUGCAUAAACGCGCCCAUCUCUCGAUAGGUCGAUGUGGCUACAGGAUAGAUGGUUAGAUGGCGCUUCGAUCCAGAGGGAUAGGGAAAGGGAGAAGGUUUGCGGGGAAGAACCGCCACGCAAUAUCGUGUAUGUAUAUAAUACGAGAGACAAUGUAACUCAGUUGGGUACGCCGCACAAUUAGUGUGUACGCGGUUGUCGUUGGCUAUACCAUGAGAGAAA
Molecule: long non-coding RNA, 1755 nt
Filed under: Polistes fuscatus (common paper wasp)
Lineage: Eukaryota; Metazoa; Arthropoda; Insecta; Hymenoptera; Vespidae
Description: uncharacterized LOC122519185
Source: RNAcentral